Molecule: ribosomal RNA, 451 nt
Filed under: uncultured bacterium
Lineage: Bacteria
Description: bacterial SSU rRNA
Rfam family: Bacterial small subunit ribosomal RNA
Source: RNAcentral
ACGAACGCUGGCGGCGUGCUUAACACAUGCAAGUCGAACGAGGGUCGCAAGACCCGAGUGGCGGACGGGUGAGUAACGCGUAGGUAAUCUGCCCAUCGAUGGGGGACAACUAGCCGAAAGGUUGGCUAAUACCGCAUACGCUGGCAUCUCGAGAGGGGUGUCAGGAAAGAUUUAUUGUCGAUGGAUGAGCCUGCGUCCGAUUAGCUAGUUGGUGAGGGUAAUGGCCCACCAAGGCGACGAUCGGUAGCUGGUCUGAGAGGACGAUCAGCCACACUGGAACUGAGACACGGUCCAGACUCCUACGGGAGGCAGCAGUGGGGAAUUUUCCGCAAUGGGCGAAAGCCUGACGGAGCAACGCCGCGUGGAUGAUGAAGGCUUUCGGGUCGUAAAGUCCUUUCAGCAGGGACGAGCAGAAGACGGUACCUGCAGAAGAAGCAUCGGCUAACUACGU